Molecule: ribosomal RNA, 254 nt
Filed under: uncultured bacterium
Lineage: Bacteria
Description: partial 16S ribosomal RNA
Rfam family: Bacterial small subunit ribosomal RNA
Source: RNAcentral
CACGUAGGGGGCGAGCGUUGUCCGGAUUUAUUGGGCGUAAAGAGCUCGUAGGCGGCUCGGUAAGUCGGGUGUGAAAACUCUAGGCUCAACCUAGAGACGCCACCCGAUACUGCUGUGGCUAGAGUCCGGUAGGGGAGCAUGGAAUUCCUGGUGUAGCGGUGGAAUGCGUAGAGAUCCGGAAGAACACCGGUGGCGAAGGCGGCCUGCUGGGCAGUAGCUGACGCUGAGGAGCGACAGCGUGGGGAGCAAACAGG